UAUGGCCACAUCAGAUUGAAACACCAGUUUCCAUAUCAUCACCAAAGUUAAGAAACUUUGAGCCAGGUCAGUACCUAGAUGGCUGACUGUAUGGAAAUAUCAGGUACUGUAAG
Molecule: non-coding RNA, 113 nt
Organism: Acanthosepion pharaonis
Lineage: Eukaryota; Metazoa; Mollusca; Cephalopoda; Sepiida; Sepiidae
Source: the annotation of a GenBank genome assembly